RNAcentral lists this long non-coding RNA (299 nucleotides) under Phoenix dactylifera (date palm). RNAcentral's name for it is "long non-coding RNA (PDAC_LNC006865)". Lineage: Eukaryota; Viridiplantae; Streptophyta; Magnoliopsida; Arecales; Arecaceae. The record is from RNAcentral.
GGACCGUAAGUAAUUUUCCUUCUUGAUCAUUAUCGAGCUCAGUCGAGAUAAUUACGGAAAAAGUGUUAUCGGGUCCAAGAAAGGCAUACUUGAGUUCCCUUGGUAAGGGUUUCAGCUCAAGUAUGGGUGCUUGUUUUCGAGAUUGCACAAUUUUUGUUCCUUGUGAGGGCAACUGCUCGAAUACCUCUAUUCUCGGUCUCCAUCCAUUGAUCAUCAUGACAUCCGAAUUAUCUAAAAUAGGUGGGACCACAUCAUCAGCAGUACCUUCAGAACACCAAUCUAUUAAACCAUUGUCGGCC